Helianthus annuus (common sunflower) is the source of this 323-nucleotide long non-coding RNA. RefSeq lists it as uncharacterized. The transcript has 3 exons. NCBI's taxonomy places the organism in Eukaryota, Viridiplantae, Streptophyta, Magnoliopsida, Asterales, Asteraceae. The record is from RefSeq and is a predicted model, not a curated record.
CAUCACCAGCGGCAAUACUCCGAUAACUUUUUGGAAGCCACAUCUUCGUCGGCUAACGGCCGGUGGCUACAACCGCCUUCCAACGCUUCUUCUGCCUUUGGUUAUCAAGGUGCUAGAAUGUAUGAUAAUAGUAGUAGGAAUGUUGGUGUGCAAAGGUCGUUGAGCGGUGGGAGUGAUUUGUUUGCUGAGGCGUUGACGCCACCGCGACAGAAGCACGGUGGCGGUGAUGACAACAAUGGAUUUAGUCCUGGCUUGUUAGAUCUGCAUUCGUUUGAUACGGAGCUUAUCUCCGAGGUGCCUGUAACCGGAACUUAUGGUGCUCU